UACGAAGGGGGCUAGCGUUGCUCGGGAUCACUGGGCGUAAAGGGUGCGUAGGCGGGUCUUUAAGUCAGGGGUGAAAUCCUGGAGCUCAACUCCAGAACUGCCUUUGAUACUGAAGAUCUUGAGUCCGGGAGAGGUGAGUGGAACUGCGAGUGUAGAGGUGAAAUUCGUAGAUAUUCGCAAGAACACCAGUGGCGAAGGCGGCUCACUGGCCCGGUACUGACGCUGAGGCACGAAAGCGUGGGGAGCAAACAGG
RNAcentral lists this ribosomal RNA (253 nucleotides) under uncultured bacterium. RNAcentral describes it as "partial 16S ribosomal RNA". It matches the Rfam family "Bacterial small subunit ribosomal RNA", at positions 524 to 776 of the family's 1533-position model. The record is from RNAcentral.